AGUUGUUGGAUUUGACCAAGAUAAAGAUGUUGCUGUGUUGCAUAUUGAUGCACCAAAAGACAAGUUGCGACCUAUACCAAUUGGCGUAUCGGCAGACUUGCUCGUUGGUCAAAAAGUAUUUGCUAUUGGAAAUCCAUUUGGACUUGAUCAUACACUCACCACUGGUGUAAUCAGUGGGCUUAGGAGAGAAAUCAAUUCUGCGGCUACUGGCCGCCCAAUCCAAGAUGUUAUUCAGACAGAUGCAGCAAUCAAUCCUGGUAACAGUGGAGGGCCACUUCUAGAUAGUUCUGGAAAUCUUAUUGGAAUAAAUACUGCUAUAUAUUCUCCUUCUGGUGCAUCAUCAGGUGUUGGAUUUUCAAUUCCAGUUGAUACUGUCAGUGGCAUUGUUGAUCAGUUAGUGCAGUUUGGGAAAGUCACAAGGCCAAUUUUGGGCAUAAAGUUUGCACCUGAUCAGUCCGUUGAGCAACUGGGAGUCACUGGAGUACUUGUCCUGGAUGCUCCUCCAAAUGGUCCUGCAGGCAAAGCAGGUCUUCUACCUACUAAACGUGAUUCCUACGGAAGACUUAUUUUAGGUGAUAUAAUCACAUCUAUAAAUGGAAAGAAGGUCUCUAAUGGCACCGACUUGUACAGA
RNAcentral lists this unclassified non-coding RNA (631 nucleotides) under Hevea brasiliensis (rubber tree). Lineage: Eukaryota; Viridiplantae; Streptophyta; Magnoliopsida; Malpighiales; Euphorbiaceae. The record is from RNAcentral.